RNAcentral lists this ribosomal RNA (439 nucleotides) under uncultured Arcobacter sp. RNAcentral's name for it is "bacterial SSU rRNA". It matches the Rfam family "Bacterial small subunit ribosomal RNA", at positions 338 to 794 of the family's 1533-position model. The record is from RNAcentral. Lineage: Bacteria; Pseudomonadati; Campylobacterota; Epsilonproteobacteria; Campylobacterales; Arcobacteraceae.
CCUACGGGAGGCAGCAGUGGGGAAUAUUGCACAAUGGGGGAAACCCUGAUGCAGCAACGCCGCGUGGAGGAUGACACAUUUCGGUGCGUAAACUCCUUUUAUAAGAGAAGAUAAUGACGGUAUCUUAUGAAUAAGCACCGGCUAACUCCGUGCCAGCAGCCGCGGUAAUACGGAGGGUGCAAGCGUUACUCGGAAUCACUGGGCGUAAAGAGCGUGUAGGCGGAUUUGUAAGUUGGGAGUGAAAGCCUAUGGCUCAACCAUAGAACUGCUUCCAAAACUGCAUGUCUAGAGUGUGGGAGAGGUAGAUGGAAUUUCUGGUGUAGGGGUAAAAUCCGUAGAGAUCAGAAGGAAUACCGAUUGCGAAGGCGAUCUACUGGAACAUAACUGACGCUGAGACGCGAAAGCGUGGGGAGCAAACAGGAUUAGAUACCCCAGUAGU